Molecule: long non-coding RNA, 1986 nt
Organism: Pan troglodytes (chimpanzee)
Lineage: Eukaryota; Metazoa; Chordata; Mammalia; Primates; Hominidae
Exons: 4
Source: RefSeq, a predicted model, not a curated record
CCUGAGGGGUAAAUUGCCCAUGCACUGCACUUGAUUCUUUUACUCAGAAAUGAACAUGGAGCAAUUUACGUGCACCAGUAAAAUGCGGCUACUCUCGGAGUCCCUUUGGGCCAUACCCCAGCCAGGGAAGUUCCCAGAGAUGGGAGCAGAGGAUUAUCUCCAGGCAGUGCUCAAGGUGAGACCUGAAAGCCCAAUCAAUCAAGGAAACUCUAAUUGGACCCAUUACCUUACCUAAGCAGACUCUCUUUUGGAAGCUCACCCUGCACCCAGAUCCUGGAGGCUGAGGUCUAGAUCGGUCGCCAAGGAUGGGAUCCAGGAGAAAACGUGCUGAACGUGCAGCUUGCUCCUACCGAUUACAGCCCAGCAGAUGACAUAGUUCCACUGUGCUCUAGUCCAUUGUGGGAAUCAUGGCCCUCAUGCCCGGCGUCUGUCACAACCCAAUUAUUUGGUGUUAUAACCCCUGCUCCCACCCCCAGCACAUCUCAGAAGUGCCGUUACCCUCUCAGUCACAUCCCAGAAACUGUGUUGCCUUCACGGUACUCUUGUUUAUGCUUGAGAGCACUCGGAGGCCUCUCCAUAUCUAAAGCCUGCAUUCAGUGCUACCCCCUGCAGGAUUUGGAUACAUUUCCCCGUCUGGUCCUAAUUCUGUUGAAUGACAUCAUUUAUCCGUAUUCCCACCCAGAGAUGGGCAGAUUUCUUGUAACCUGAAUAGAUACCAAAGAAUCCCAAAGGACCUGGGUGGGUACUUCUAUUUAUGGGCUCAUUGGAUCUUAUUCUUUCCUCUCCGCCUGUUUUAAUUCAAAUCGGGGGGACCAUUUGAUUUCUCCAAUAGAAACAGAAAGAAAUUGAAGACAGAGAUGAACACAGAUCAAGAGCCCAGGUUUCUUGAUAUUUAAUACUAAUAUACUGAUGGAGUUAAACAUUCCAAGGAAUAUAGCAUGUCUUGGUCUCUGAGAGCCAAUAUAUCUGGGUUACACUGAAAGAGGAAUAACGAGAUAAUAUUUACACUGUACAUUGAAGAUGACCUGAAAAGCUGGAAGAGCUCAGACAGACAUCAGCUGGGUGAAGCCCCAGGUUCAAACAAACUUGCCUUGGAUGUCAAAGUACUAGUAGCAAAGGAACUCCCAAUUCCUCACCUGCUGUGAAGUUUCCCAUUCACUGCAAGCAAAGUCCAGGUGAAAGCAAAGAUUCUUCACCCGCAGAAACCCUCUGGGCAGGUAACUCAUGAUGUAUUUAUUCCCAGCCACCUGAUGAAUCUGGAGAAAGGAAUAGAAAGGUUCUGCCAAAUGAUUUAAAUGAAGAAUCCUGUGGGCCCAGCCCAGCCCUCUAUGCUAACUAAUCUGAGGCCGGCAGGUGUGUGGUGUUCUGUUUAUAGCUGCCAGAUCAGCUCCUGUUGUAGGUUCUAUAUACUGGCCUCAGCUGAGCCUGUGGUAUGUGAGAUCAGUUCUGUGCGAUCCAAACAAUUGACAAAUACUGACCUGGCCCCAGCCACGUGCCCAGUCAUUGCUGGGCUGCCCAAGAAACCAACUAAGCACAUUCUGGGGCAGGGGUGGGGGGCAUUCAAGAAAGAAAUCAGAAAGCUGUAUUCAUUAUUCUAUUGACUGAGGGCUUAGUAUUAUGUCAGGCACUGAUCUUGCAACGGGGAAACAGUAGUGUCUCUUUCCCUCAUGGAACUUACAUCCGGGCAUUAUUUCAGCAUACUUGUGAGUUUUCCUUAUUUAUUAUUUAUUUAUUUACUUACUUACUUAUUGAGACAGUUCUGCUCUGUCGCCCAGGCUGGAGUACAGUGGCGCGAUCUCGGCUCACUGCAACCUCUGCCUCCCGGGUUCAAACGAUUCUCCUGCCUCAGCCUCCCAAGUAGCUGGAAUUACAGGUGCCCACCAUCACACUGGGCUAAUUUUUUAUGUUUUUAGUAGAGACGGGGGUUUCAUCAUGUUGGCCAGGCUGGUCUUGAACUCCUGACCUCCAGUGAUCCGCCUCCCUCAG